Molecule: long non-coding RNA, 393 nt
Organism: Carya illinoinensis
Lineage: Eukaryota; Viridiplantae; Streptophyta; Magnoliopsida; Fagales; Juglandaceae
Exons: 2
Source: RefSeq, a predicted model, not a curated record
GUUUCAUCUUCCGUUGCCUCUCUCUCUCACAGCUUUCAUCUUGUUGUUUGAUUUAUGUUUGUAUUUUGUUCUUCUUUUAAUGUUUUACAGUUUUGUAUUCCGUUCAUUUCAGUUGUUUUUGUUUUUUUUUUUUCUAUGUUUUUUUCCUCUUAGAUCUGAACAGAUUUGUUUUUGUUUUAUUUUCUUUCUCAGGGUCGUGACUAUGGCCGCGCGCAGCAGGCCACGACCACCGCAGCGUUGCAAAUGGCUACUGGUGGGAGCGCACGGCCACGCCGGAAGCACACAACAACAAACCAGAAGAUGAAAUUUCAGAAAAUCGAAAUUGUAUAUCAAUCAUUAAAUUUUUUUGUUCGGUGUACUCUCUGUAAAUAAAGAUGUAAAUAUGCAAACACA